Eurytemora carolleeae is the source of this 200-nucleotide long non-coding RNA. RefSeq lists it as uncharacterized. NCBI's taxonomy places the organism in Eukaryota, Metazoa, Arthropoda, Copepoda, Calanoida, Temoridae. The record is from RefSeq and is a predicted model, not a curated record. The transcript has 3 exons.
UUCAAAUUUAUCUAUUUAAAAAAUUUAAAUGAUUUCCUAGGAUUGUAUAAAUAACAAAGUUAUCUUCUCUAUUUGUCCAACUCUCAGUAUUUUGAGCCAAAAUGUUGGAUUGAGUGAAUUUUACCAUCCUGCAGUUAGGUUCAUAGAGGAUGGUCUCAAUCUAAAUGUUGGUGCUGGAAACCCUAAUCUGGUUGGUGGCU